UGGCGACGGGUGUCACUCCACC
This 22-nucleotide non-coding RNA is filed under the name Arabidopsis thaliana (thale cress). Lineage: Eukaryota; Viridiplantae; Streptophyta; Magnoliopsida; Brassicales; Brassicaceae. The record is from RNAcentral.